UACGUAGGGUGCAAGCGUUAAUCGGAAUUACUGGGCGUAAAGCGUGCGCAGGCGGUUUUGUAAGUCUGUCGUGAAAUCCCCGGGCUUAACCUGGGAACUGCAUUUGUGACUGCAUGGCUGGAGUGCGGCAGAGGGGGAUGGAAUUCCGCGUGUAGCAGUGAAAUGCGUAGAUAUGCGGAGGAACACCGAUGGCGAAGGCAAUCCCCUGGGCCUGCACUGACGCUCAUGCACGAAAGCGUGGGGAGCAAACAGG
Molecule: ribosomal RNA, 253 nt
Filed under: uncultured bacterium
Lineage: Bacteria
Description: partial 16S ribosomal RNA
Rfam family: Bacterial small subunit ribosomal RNA
Source: RNAcentral